This 403-nucleotide long non-coding RNA is filed under the name Ictidomys tridecemlineatus (thirteen-lined ground squirrel). Its description in RNAcentral is "lncRNA (ENSSTOG00000029556.1)". The record is from RNAcentral. Lineage: Eukaryota; Metazoa; Chordata; Mammalia; Rodentia; Sciuridae.
CACAGUUGGGGAGUAGGCAAUAGCCUUUGAUUCCAUUGCACAAACUGAACCACCCUUACUUCUGCUUUUUUAGAGCUUGAAAAACUUGUGUCUUUGGCAGAGAAAUAACUGCAGCAAGACCCAGGUACUCAGCCCUACAACAGCUGUAAAGACCCCGUCCCAGAACUAAAGAGAUCCCUGUGAAGAGCUCGAUCAGACCCUCAGUGGGUGUCUGGUGUUGAAGAUUCUCCCAGAAGGUCCCUGUCACUGUGAUUUGAUACCAGAUGCCACCUGAUAGACACACUGGCCCAAUGGAGCAGAGAAAGGGCUGCAAGGUGUUCGAAGAAGAAAAGGGAGCCCAGGCGAGGCCCAGAGUCUGGCUAAGUUUGGACCAGUCACGCCUGGGGAAUUUGGAUUGAAGUGA